AGCAGCCGCGGUAAUUCCGGCUCCAAUAGCGUAUAUUAAAGUUGUUGCAGUUAAAAAGCUCGUAGUUGAAUUUCGGGGUCAGUAGGUCGGUCGUGCCACUGGUAUGAACUGGUUUUACUGAUUCCUCCCUCUUGAAGAACUGUAAUGCCAUUAAUUUGGUGUUGCAGGGAAUCAGGACUGUUACUUUGAAAAAAUUAGAGUGUUUAAAGCAGGCUUUAGCUUGAAUACAUUAGCAUGGAAUAAUGAAAUAGGACGUUUGAUCCUAUUUUGUUGGUUUCUAGGAUUGACGUAAUGAUUAAUAGGGAUAGUUGGGGGCAUUAGUAUUCAAUUGUCAGAGGUGAAAUUCUUGGAUUUAUUGAAGACUAACUACUGCGAAAGCAUUUGCCAAGGAUGUUUUCAUUAACCAAGAACGAAAGUUAGGGGAUCGAAGACGAUCAGAUACCGUCGUAGUCUUAACCAUAAACUAUGCCGACUAGGGAUCGGAUGAUGUUAAUUUUUUAAUGACUCAUUCGGCGCCUUA
RNAcentral lists this ribosomal RNA (520 nucleotides) under uncultured Glomus. RNAcentral's name for it is "SSU rRNA". It matches the Rfam family "Eukaryotic small subunit ribosomal RNA", at positions 569 to 1090 of the family's 1831-position model. The record is from RNAcentral. Lineage: Eukaryota; Fungi; Glomeromycota; Glomeromycetes; Glomerales; Glomeraceae.